AUCUCUCAAUACUAGAGCUUGUUAACUCAAGCGCUAGUCAUUGGACUUGGGAGCUUGCCGGCCUAGUCGGCUCUCCUUGAAUGCAUUAGCUUGGACCUUCACAAGAUCCUCGGUGUGAUAAUUAUCUACGCCGUCAGGAAUCAUGUGGCGCGUGCUACCCUGCUUCAUUGCAGCUGCUGUAGCCGCGGGGGGACGAGCUUACAAUCGUCUUCGGACAAUUAUUAUGAC
This 228-nucleotide unclassified non-coding RNA is filed under the name uncultured Corticiaceae. RNAcentral describes it as "sequence contains ITS2". Lineage: Eukaryota; Fungi; Basidiomycota; Agaricomycetes; Corticiales; Corticiaceae. The record is from RNAcentral.